This 43-nucleotide unclassified non-coding RNA is filed under the name Leishmania tarentolae. Its description in RNAcentral is "gRPS12VIIIb". Lineage: Eukaryota; Euglenozoa; Kinetoplastea; Trypanosomatida; Trypanosomatidae. The record is from RNAcentral.
ACACAUAAACCAUACAGAGGUAAUACACGUAUAGAAUAGAUAU